AACGAACGCUGGCGGCAUGCCUAACACAUGCAAGUCGAACGAGACCUUCGGGUCUAGUGGCGCACGGGUGCGUAACGCGUGGGAACCUGCCCUUAGGUUCGGAAUAACUCCCCGAAAGGGGUGCUAAUACCGGAUAAUGUCUUCGGACCAAAGAUUUAUCGCCUUUGGAUGGGCCCGCGUUAGAUUAGCUAGUUGGUAGGGUAAAAGCCUACCAAGGCGACGAUCCAUAGCUGGUCUGAGAGGAUGAUCAGCCACACUAGGACUGAGACACGGCCCAGACUCCUACGGAAGGCAGGAGUGGGGAAUAUUGGACAAUGGGCGAAAGCCUGAUCCAGCAAUGCCGCGUGAGUGAUGAAGGCGUUAGGGUUGUAAAGCUCUUUUACCCGGGAUGAUAAUGACAGUACCGGGAGAAUAAGCUCCGGCUAACUCCGUG
This 433-nucleotide ribosomal RNA is filed under the name uncultured bacterium. RNAcentral's name for it is "partial 16S ribosomal RNA". It matches the Rfam family "Bacterial small subunit ribosomal RNA", at positions 29 to 507 of the family's 1533-position model. The record is from RNAcentral.